CAGCCGCCACGGUAAUACGUAGGGUGCGAGCGUUAAUCGGAAUUACUGGGCGUAAAGCGUGCGCAGGCGGUUGUGUAAGACAGGUGUGAAAUCCCCGGGCUUAACCUGGGAACUGCGCUUGUGACUGCACAGCUAGAGUAUGGCAGAGGGGGGUGGAAUUCCACGUGUAGCAGUGAAAUGCGUAGAGAUGUGGAGGAAUACCGAUGGCGAAGGCAGCCCCCUGGGCCAAUACUGACGCUCAUGCAUGAAAGCGUGGGGAGCAAACAGGAUUAGAUACCCCUGUAGUCCCUGUCUCUUAUAC
Molecule: ribosomal RNA, 301 nt
Filed under: uncultured bacterium
Lineage: Bacteria
Description: partial 16S ribosomal RNA
Rfam family: Bacterial small subunit ribosomal RNA
Source: RNAcentral